CCAGCUCCAAUAGCGUAUAUUUAAGUUGUUGCAGUUAAAAAGCUCGUAGUUGGAUUUUGGGUUGGAGGAUUCGGUCUGCCGUGAGGUAGAUACUGCUUCCUUCAUCCUUCUUGCCGGGGACGCGUCCUGGUCUUCAUUGGCUGGGGCGUGGAGUCGGCGAUGUUACUUUGAAAAAAUUAGAGUGUUCAAAGCAGGCCUAUGCUCUGAAUACAUUAGCAUGGAAUAACGUGAUAGGACUCUGGUCCUAUUGUGUUGGUCUUCGGGACCGGAGUAAUGAUUAAUAGGGACAGUUGGGGGCAUUCGUAUUUCAUUGUCAGAGGUGAAAUUCUUGGAUUUAUGAAAGACGAACUACUGCGAAAGCAUUUGCCAAGGAUGUUUUCA
Molecule: ribosomal RNA, 381 nt
Filed under: uncultured Staurodesmus
Lineage: Eukaryota; Viridiplantae; Streptophyta; Zygnematophyceae; Desmidiales; Desmidiaceae
Description: SSU rRNA
Rfam family: Eukaryotic small subunit ribosomal RNA
Source: RNAcentral